This 1441-nucleotide ribosomal RNA is filed under the name uncultured organism. Its description in RNAcentral is "partial small subunit ribosomal RNA". It matches the Rfam family "Bacterial small subunit ribosomal RNA". The record is from RNAcentral.
AACGCUGGCGGCGUGCUUAACACAUGCAAGUCGAACGGAAAGGCCCUGCUUUUGUGGGGUGCUCGAGUGGCGAACGGGUGAGUAACACGUGAGUAACCUGCCCUUGACUUUGGGAUAACUUCAGGAAACUGGGGCUAAUACCGGAUAGGAGCUCCUGCUGCAUGGUGGGGGUUGGAAAGUUUCGGCGGUUGGGGAUGGACUCGCGGCUUAUCAGCUUGUUGGUGGGGUAGUGGCUUACCAAGGCUUUGACGGGUAGCCGGCCUGAGAGGGUGACCGGCCACAUUGGGACUGAGAUACGGCCCAGACUCCUACGGGAGGCAGCAGUGGGGAAUAUUGCACAAUGGGCGGAAGCCUGAUGCGGCAACGCCGCGUGCGGGAUGACGGCCUUCGGGUUGUAAACCGCUUUCGCCUGUGACGAAGCGUGAGUGACGGUAAUGGGUAAAGAAGCACCGGCUAACUACGUGCCAGCAGCCGCGGUGAUACGUAGGGUGCGAGCGUUGUCCGGAUUUAUUGGGCGUAAAGGGCUCGUAGGUGGUUGAUCGCGUCGGAAGUGUAAUCUUGGGGCUUAACCCUGAGCGUGCUUUCGAUACGGGUUGACUUGAGGAAGGUAGGGGAGAAUGGAAUUCCUGGUGGAGCGGUGGAAUGCGCAGAUAUCAGGAGGAACACCAGUGGCGAAGGCGGUUCUCUGGGCCUUUCCUGACGCUGAGGAGCGAAAGCGUGGGGAGCGAACAGGCUUAGAUACCCUGGUAGUCCACGCUGUAAACGGUGGGUACUAGGUGUGGGGUCCAUUCCACGGGUUCCGUGCCGUAGCUAGCGCUUUAAGUACCCCGCCUGGGGAGUACGGCCGCAAGGCUAAAACUCAAAGGAAUUGACGGGGCCCCGCACAAGCGGCGGAGCAUGCGGAUUAAUUCGAUGCAACGCGUAGAACCUUACCUGGGUUUGACAUGGAUCGGGAGUGCUCAGAGAUGGGUGUGCCUCUUUUGGGGUCGGUUCACAGGUGGUGCAUGGCUGUCGUCAGCUCGUGUCGUGAGAUGUUGGGUUAAGUCCCGCAACGAGCGCAACCCUUGUUCACUGUUGCCAGCACGUUAUGGUGGGGACUCAGUGGAGACCGCCGGGGUCAACUCGGAGGAAGGUGGGGAUGACGUCAAGUCAUCAUGCCCCUUAUGUCCAGGGCUUCACGCAUGCUACAAUGGCUGGUACAGAGAGUGGCGAGCCUGUGAGGGUGAGCGAAUCUCGGAAAGCCGGUCUCAGUUCGGAUUGGGGUCUGCAACUCGACCUCAUGAAGUCGGAGUCGCUAGUAAUCGCAGAUCAGCAACGCUGCGGUGAAUACGUUCCCGGGGCUUGUACACACCGCCCGUCAAGUCAUGAAAGUUGGUAACACCCGAAGCCGGUGGCCUAACCGUUGUGGGGGAGCCGUCGAAGGUGGGACUGGUGAUUAGGA